Molecule: long non-coding RNA, 4462 nt
Organism: Anneissia japonica
Lineage: Eukaryota; Metazoa; Echinodermata; Crinoidea; Comatulida; Comatulidae
Exons: 3
Source: RefSeq, a predicted model, not a curated record
AUCAAGGACAAAAAGAAACACCAGCCAACAGUAUUAAACCAGGAUUGAUCUAGCUCCGGAAAAAGGAAAGUCCAUUAAUAGAAAACGUCCUAUACAAGGUGCACUCAAAGACAAAAAAAAAUGUCAAAGCAAGUAGGCAUGUAUUGUUCAGAAAUGGAACAGUAUUUUGGUCUGAAGACAAUAGCAUCCUCACCGUGCGACGGAAACCAUGCGUCGAGCGUCCUUAUCACGCCAACGUCCAGCCCUACAAAGGAGCUUGAGAAAACGUUCGAUGAUGAACGGAUCCUAGGAGGGCACAGUAGCAACAGCGAUGAGGAUGACAGUGGUAACGAGGACGAAUUUGAUGACACACUUGAAGAUAUCAUUUUCCCAAUUGACCCUGAUAAUGAGUUGGAUCUUGAUGAAAUUGAAAACAAUUAAAUUAAAGAAAUUCAGAAAGGAUCUUUCAUUUUGUAGUCUUAAGUUUAGCAAGAAUGUAGUUUAAAAGUUGCCCAUGUCUAGUAAUUAUUACCCAUAAUCCUCUCAAUAAUUACCUAUUGUGAUGGACAUUUAUGCUUUAUGGAGGUUUUGGCAAAAUGUCAUUUCUUGUUUUUCUUAAUAUCUUAUUUUUAAUAUUAUGAAUUGAUAAUGAUGGUUUUAUAGUGUGUUUAUUGUAAAGUAUCAGAAAUAUGUAAAAAAAAUACAUUGUCUAGAAAGUAAUAAUUAAAAAAUUUGAGAUUUAGGAAGAAUACCUAUUUUAUUGAAAUACAAGUCCUUCAACUCCUGUAUUGUUUUCCUCUUGUAUGAUCCUCCCACACCCCUUGUGUUCCCUUAGCCGUCGUAUAUUCCUAACUUUCAUCUUGAAAUAUGCUAUACUGGAGAUUUCCUCAGACUCUUUGAUAUUAUAAAAAUCUAGUGAUUUCAGAUGAAAAAAAUUAUAUUUAGAAAACUGUUUAUUACAGUUUUGUAUCAUAAAAUGUUGAAUAUCAUAAUUAAUGAAAUUGGAUUUUGAUUAAUUGGUAUCUAUACUUUUAACAAUGAAUUUAGUCUAAUAAUGAAUUAAAUAUUUUAGAUAGAUUUUACGUGAUUUUGAUGAUCCAAGAUGAAUUUUCCACGCAGAAAUUGAUUUUUUUAUAUCUGGUCAUGUGAUUAAUAAUAUAAAUGGCCAAAAAUAGGAAUCAGUUGUCUUGGAAACAAAACAAGAUAUUUAUGGGAUUUGCGGUUUUAAGUGACACGUUAGCAUUGGCUAUAUACCUGAUUACGCAUGAUGUACCAUCUUAAUAUUUCAUCAGUUGAAUUUAAAUUACUAUUCAACCUGCGCAUCAUAUUACUUCAAGAGCUUUAACAAGCAAAUUUUCUUGAAAAGAAAUUUUCUGUUGAUAUUGCAAACAGUUGUAUGGCUCGUAACAGUAUCCUUUAAAAUACACAAAGUGAACAAAUACAUCAGAAUGAGCAUAACCAAAUCCAUUAAAUUCACUAUGUAUAAGGUUGUUUUAAUUGCUUCGGUACAAUUAUUUGAUUGCAAAUUCAUAAGGCCUAACAAUUCAGUAUUUUAUUCUAACAGUACAAAUUUUCAUUUGAGAAAGGCCCCCUCUAUAUUAUUUUCUUUUCUUAUCAUUUCUGAUUUUUUUUUUUUUUUUUUUUCUGGGCAAAUUUUCAGAGGGAAAGAAAACUUCUACUGAAUUCAAAUUCUGUUUUUAAACUUUUAUUAGAAUUUAAUUAUGUUUAUUAAUCAUUAUUAUUAAAAUUAUUAUUCAUAAUUUUUUAUCAAAAUCCUCAAAGAAAACAUUCUUGUUUAAAAAGCAUUCUUUCAUUUAGAAUUGAUCUUAUUUUUUCAUUUUUAUAAUUUUAUGUUUCAUAUCUGAAUGCCUUCUACUUUACAAUUGCUAAUUUAUAUUCUUGUUGAUCUCAACUCAAAAAAAAAAUGUUAUGCAAAUUGUGUGAUUAUGGGAUAUUUUUAAAAUUUGCACUUUAUCAAUUUUGAAAAUUGCUAUAGUUUUAUCGCUAUAUUCAUCCUAAGAUGUUACUUUUUUACUAGUUUCUUUUUUGUUAUUUUCACUUUAAUUUUAUAGUUUUAUGAGUACUUGACUGUAUUCAUUAUGAUUUUUUCGAGGUUAAACCGCAUUUGUUUUCCCUAUAUAUUAUUAGUGUGUGUUACCCGUGUGCAGUGCAAUGCAAAAACCACUUUACAAUACAUAAUGUAGAUGUUAAUUGUUAUAUUUGAAAUUUCUGGGAAUUUGCGUAUAUUCGUAGUGUGAUAUCUUUAAGAAUUCUUGCCUAUUAUAACUUUGCUAUCAUAACUCAUUUUGUGGUACUUGUAAUUCAAUCAUAAUAGGAUUAUAAGUUAGUUUUUUUCCAUUGAUGAUGGUGAUGAUGACGAUGAUGGUGACUGUGAUGGUGUUUUGCCGCAUGUAGCAGCUUACAUAAACAUUGAAUGCGGUGACAAAUUUAUUGAAGAAAAUAUAAAGAGGAUGCGUGUGUGUUAUAUAAUCAAGAUGCUAAUAAUACUGGUCGGUGGCUUAUCCAUUUUGGGAUCUAUUGUAGCAGGAAUGCUGCAGGUUUAUUUUAAGUGAGAUCACAGAUCAGGUUUUGUUAAGAUACCUCAGUGCAGGGUUGCAAUUCCUGCAGUGGAAUGGAGAGGUCAUUCUGGUGUGUCUGUGGCCUUGGAAUUUUAGAAUGUGAUGGGUUUCGGUUACCAGUUUAAUUUUUGAGAAUUUACCGUUUAUUAGCAGUAGAAUUCUACAAACGAAUGAUAUAAUAUUGUCAUUUCUACUGUGUGCAACCUGUUUUGAAACUAGCAUUAAUUCUUCUGUUUUGAAAGUAUGCUUGUUACUAGUAUCUUUUUUAAGACUGGGAUUUGUAACCUUUCACAUAUUUUCACCCAAUGGUGACAUAUAAAUUGUGAUUUAGUAGCCCUCUAGAUCGCUAGAUAACUUAGCAGAAUAAUCUGCAGGGUUUAGCUGUGCAAUUGCGUAAAUUUGUAGUCUUUAAAGUUUUUCCCCUUGGUUUUUAUUUUUCAUUUUUUUUGCUUAGCAUAUUGUUUCCAACUGUAAGCAACAUGUAUUAGUUGCUGUUGGUAUUUAUGAAUACGAAUGUGCAUAUUUAUGAUUUGGGCGUGGCCUGGCUGGUGUAAAUGCUAUUAAUUGCUACAUUAAAGUUUGAAUAUGGAUGUGCAUAUUCAUGAUAGGUGUGGCUUGAAUAGUAUAUAUUAUAAAUGCUACAUUAUGGUUUGACUGAAUAUGCAUUAUGUGGGUGUGGCUUGAUUGGUAUAUUAUGCUACAUUAAAAUUUAAAUAUUAAUGCAUAUUCAUGAUGUGGGUGUGGCUUAAUUCAUAUAUACAGUAUAUGCUAUAAUUGCUACAGUUAAGUUGUUUUCCUCAUUCUCCUUUCCAUUCUGUAAACAUCCUUUUAAUUUCAUGCUUUUGGUAAUAUCAAAAGAUAUGUUACGAAUAUUCAUGUUUAAUAUUAUAUAGAAAAAAAGAAGAAAAUGGACAGAUGAAGUUGUUUUAUACAUCUAAUCUUGUAUUAAACCAAAACAUGUUUACAAGCUUCGAGUGAAAAGAAUGUGGUUAUUAAAACUGGAGAGUGUGUUAUAUUGUCAAAAUGCCACGAGAAUUGACUAUGAAAAAGUGAAUAUGAGAGGAUGAAGUAGAGAUUGAAAAAAAAAUAAAGAGGAAAAUGACCAAAGGAGAUAUAGAAAAUGUAAGAAAUUGAGGUACAGAAAUGCAGCAGUAUUUGGUUUAAGCUGUGUUCUAGUGUACAUACCUUCAAACAACCAGGAAGAAAAGUGAGAAAUAUUGAGAUGCAUACGAUCUUGGUUGCUAGCUGCAAGUAUCAAUAAGAAUAAGAUCAUAGCAAAAUGUUUUUGUAAGACAGAAAGGUAAUAGAAACCUCAGUGAAGGGAUUUGAGUGUGUUUUCUUGUCAGGCCACUCCUAAAAAAGUCUUGAAAGAGAAAGAGUUUUAAAAAAAACUGUGCCUGUCUUUUUCGCUGUAUAAUUUUUGGAAACAAGACAAGGAUAUGUAUGAUAUCAAGAUGAAUAUAAGUGCAUGCUUAAUGAACUAAUUAACGUAGAUUGUUAACAAGUUGACAUUUUUGAAUCUUGAGUGUGGACCAAUGAUGUAAAUAUUUGUUGGAAUAUUAGGACAGUGGUUUCGUAUAGAAGCGGAUAAGAAUAGGGGCCGGUUUUUCCACCCAUAUUUUGUAAUUUUUUUUAUCAAAUAAGGGCAGUAUCUCUCAGGGGUUUGUUGAAGUUUUCAUUCUUUUUCCAUCUUAUUUCCUAUACUGCUGAAAAAAAACUUUUAAAGUUGAAAGUGUGUACAUAAUGUGCUUAUGAAACACACUGGUAUGUUAGUGGUUAAAGAAGUGGCUCAAUAGUGGCCAUAGCAGCUAUACCAACAUCCUCAGCUUAAUAUUUUAAGUAGAUGGCUGGAAUAGCUAAUGUAUUAUGUGUGGAGAAUGAAUAAAAUUGACUGCUAAUCUAAA